Molecule: unclassified non-coding RNA, 72 nt
Filed under: Pseudomonas libanensis
Lineage: Bacteria; Pseudomonadati; Pseudomonadota; Gammaproteobacteria; Pseudomonadales; Pseudomonadaceae
Source: RNAcentral
UGUGGGAGCUGGCUUGCCUGCGAUAGCUAUGUUGGAUUCACCAUUGCUAUCGCAGGCAAGCCAGCUCCCACA